UUCUUUGAUGCUGGAGAAGAGUUGAGCUAAGAAAGAAGUCCUGAGAUGCUGCUACAGCAUGACUGAAUGAGAAGGAUCUGGGAACACAGAAUCCAGGAAGAGUUCCGUGCCAAGAGAUGAAGGAAGAGGAACAAGGAAGGGGAUGGUGGACGCCUCUCAUGGUCUCCUCCGCUUAUCUGGACACAUCUAAGCUAAGAAUGGUGUUUCGUAGUUUUAUUUGUCGCCUUAUUUCCUCGACAUGCGCUGCCAUUGACAUUCUCACCCACGCUGACAGACGUGCACAUACUUUCCUGCAGCUAUAUUUAUCUCUCCAAAUUAGUCUAUUGUUCCUCAGUGAGCUUCCCAUGCUCAGUACUGUAUGUACAGAGGAUAAAGAGAUGGGUGCUCAGCUUAUCUGAUAAAAUAAGUCUGGUCCAAUAAGACACAUGACAAACACUUCAUGGAUUGGCACCCUGUCCAGGGUGUACCCAGCCUUGUGCCCAAUGCUCCCUGGGGUAGGCUCCAGGUUUCCCCGUGACCCUGAAGGAAGGAUAAGCGGUAUAGAAGAUGGAUGGAUGGAUGGAUGGACAAACACUUCAUGAGCUGGCAUGUGCCAUAAACAUCUUCUUAUUGAUAUUGGUUUUGGAUUAAGAUAAAAGGGUUGCCUGUACAGGAAGUGACUACAGAAAAAAAGGACGAAAGGCUUGCACAUUCUUAAAGUUCAUACAAUUUUCUUAAGCAGUGAAGCGCCACAAGUCCAGCUGCAGUUCUUCCACUAGCCACACGAGGGCACUUGUCUGUUUUUAAUGCAUUUGAUCUCCUGAUGCUGAAAUCAACAGCCAUACCAGCACUACUAGAAAGCAUUAUAAUCAUCAGUACAGAAGCAUUUACAUAUUUUCUGUGAUCAAAAUGAACUCAAUUAUGAGAAGCUAUAAUCCAUAAGAAGACAUACACUUUGCAGUGUCUUACAGGUUGUUGUUGUGUUUCUGCACUGGUCCAGCACCAGACCAGGGGGAAAAACACAAGAUUUUUAAAUCAAUACAACAUUAACAGUAUCCACAUGUUACUGGAAACUUCAUGGCGUAAAAGCAACAUUUGGAAAUUAUACAUGUUGACAACAUGCAUCUGUGUGGGUUUUGUGUUUGUAAAACCAUGAGAAUUUAAAUGUUUGUAUUGAUUUUUUUUUUUAUUUUUUUACAGCUUCUCGUAUACAACAGUGGACAGAAUAUGA
Ictalurus punctatus (channel catfish) is the source of this 1210-nucleotide long non-coding RNA. The record is from Ensembl. Lineage: Eukaryota; Metazoa; Chordata; Actinopteri; Siluriformes; Ictaluridae.